Molecule: ribosomal RNA, 253 nt
Filed under: uncultured bacterium
Lineage: Bacteria
Description: partial 16S ribosomal RNA
Rfam family: Bacterial small subunit ribosomal RNA
Source: RNAcentral
UACGUAGGGGGCCAGCGUUGUUCGGAAUUACUGGGUGUAAAGGGUUCGUAGGCGGUGUGGCAAGUCGGGAGUGAAAUCUCUGGGCUUAACUCAGAGGCUGCUUUCGAAACUGCCGUGCUAGAGUGCGGGAGAGGUAAGCGGAAUUCCUGGUGUAGCGGUGAAAUGCGUAGAUAUCAGGAGGAACACCUGUGGUGUAGACAGCUUACUGGACCGUGACUGACGCUGAGGUACGAAAGCGUGGGUAGCAAACAGG